Molecule: long non-coding RNA, 303 nt
Organism: Chinchilla lanigera (long-tailed chinchilla)
Lineage: Eukaryota; Metazoa; Chordata; Mammalia; Rodentia; Chinchillidae
Exons: 2
Source: RefSeq, a predicted model, not a curated record
GGGAGUUUCCAGAGGAGGGGUAAGGCCAUGUUUCCUGCCACAGGGGAAAGGCUGGGAGCUUCAUCUCAGAAUGUAAUCAGAGACAGGAGGAGUCAGGCCAAGCAGCAGACUGGAGAGGAAUGAAAGAAAAGCUCCUACUCAGCAGGCACCCAAGUCUUCUGCGCACAUGCUUACAUCCAGCCUCUCCCCCUUCACGCAGGGCUGCAGACCUCAGAAACGCUGGCAGGUACAGACACGCUCCCUUUUAAUUAUCCCGCCGAACUGCCGAAGUAACUGAUUGCCAGCUAAAUAAUUAUAAUCAAG